CUGGGUUCAACUCCCAGGCCCAUUUGCCUGGGCCCAGACUUGCUCAAAUGAGUCCCAUGUUGGGCAUUGUUGCAAGUCUAGCUCAAUUCAUGCUAUGUCCCAAAUCAUUACACCGUACAAUAAUAACGUCUAUUACAAAAGAAAGAAAAGGGUCCAACUGCUAUAACCCUAUACUAAAUUAAACAAAAACUGAAUUUUAAAAAAUCAUUAUAACAGUCCAUUUCUACUACUGAGAGUCCAUGAAUUUACAUAAUUUCCUUGAAUACAAUUAUGUGUCUAAAAAAGAGUUAAGGUAAAGAGUAGACUUUUCCUCCUAACUUGGAGUCUCCAGCUAUUACAAAAUCUUUCACAAACAACUCCAACCUGCAAGAAAUCAGCUAUAAAGCUGUAUCUUGCAGGCUAGCAUUAAUUCCAACCCCGAAGCUUCUCACUGCUCAACAGGCUUUUGUUUCAGCUUAGAUUUUCAUGGAUCUGACCAUGUGAAAGGUUAGAUUCACAAAAAAUGCCUUCAAAUGUAUGGGCCUAUUGUAUUAUCAAAUCAAACUUAAAUAACCCAAUGCAAGAAUGAGUAAAAGGAAAAGCAAUGUUGUUCAUGAGUCUGACCAUGUUUAAGGUCAGCCUCACCAACAAACAAAGGCUUCCAACCCAUGAUCCUACUCUAAGUUCACAUAGAAAUCAGUUUUACCAAAAAAAAGAAAGGUAAAGGAAACAAACUUAGUCAUAUGAUGAAUGAAUCAAGGUGAAAACAAACAAAGUUAAUAGGGUUUGCUGAACAAUCAUACUUGAGAGAAAAGCAGGCAAUAAGAUAGUUAACACAAGGGCCACUUCUUAGCAUAUCACAAGGACUUAACAGAAAGCAGGCAUGAAUACUAAACUUCAGAUUUGAACAAGAAGAUUCAUUUCAAUAAAGGGAUGUGAUUACAUACCUAAAAAUGAUCCAAAACACAACAAUAAAGAGGACCAAAUAAAGGUCAAUAAACAAGGCUGAUUCAGAGCUUAAAUCCACAGCAAUCAGACAAAAGCUAACUCAGAAGUUCCAACCAGAAAUCAACAAGAAAACCAACCAGUUUCAACCAGCAAACCACAGCUAAAAGAACCAGUGUUUUCCGGAAAAACAUCCACAGCUAAGAGAAACCCAUUUUUGGAGUGUUUUUGUAUCUAAUCUUGGUAUUUUUCAGAAUCAGUAGGGAUUUUUCAAAAAAUGACUAAUAUCUGUAUAUAUUUUUUCAGAAUUUUUGAGUGCAGAAAAUGAUGCUGAAUCUGUGUGUGAGUGAGGAAAUGUUUUCCUUUUAUAAAGUGCAUAAAAAAGCAUAAAAAAAGAAUAUCCUAACCUAAAAAUUCUGAAAAUCAGAAUAGUACAACAUCUUUUACAGCUGUCUGUCCUUUUCCUUAUCCAAUAUCAACAUUUUAUGCUAAGGAUGGGGACAACUGUGCAAAGUUUAGAACAUUAUGAUAUUACCCUAUGUAAAAAUCCAUUUUUACCCUUCUAAUUACUGACUAUUUUAGCUUUGUCCUAAGUUUCGUUUAGUUCAAUUAGGUCCCUAUAAGUUCCUAUUGUUUUACAAACUAAGGCAAAUAAUACAAAACCAUAAGGGAUAAAAAAUUCAGAUAAAAAUGCCUAACAGAAUCAUGAGGCUGCAAUCUAAACCUAGAAACUAAAUCAAUCAGUAAAUAGAAGUGUUUACCUAAUUAAAACUAAACAAGAACUGAAUUUAAACAAACACAUAGGGCAAAUAAAGAAACAAACAUGGCAAUAAACAUGAAACAAAAUAAUUAACUUAAUGAACCUACACUGUAUUCAAUCCAAAAUUAGAAUGGAAUAGUAAAGACGAACUAGAAAAUUAACCUAAAACAAGCAAGGAACAUAGGACAAAAACACAAAAGGAACAGCAGAAUCGUUUCGUGUGUCAAGCCUAAAAAUGAAUCCUAAUUAAACUAAAUUUAUGCCAUUAAAGAUAAACUUUGAAUACUGAGAUUCCAUCAUGUUUUAAUUAAUCUAAUAAACAAAACAACCAAACGAAACUAAAGAGCUGUGAACAAAAGGAAAGAAAACCUAAAAUUGCAAAACUAAAUCAUGCGGCCAGAAUAAAAAAUAAUUAAACAUACAGAAGAAGAACAAACAGGGAAAAGAGAAAGAAAUUUACCUAAGCUUGUUUCAAAACUUGAGCAGUUAAGAACUUCUCCAAACUUCAAAGGGGAGGAUAUGAACUUGUUUCAUCCAUUAAUCGACUGUUCUUUGUCAAGAACAGUCGGCUAAUGGGCAUUUUAGGUUCACAUGUUCCAAACACUGACCGAGAAAAAGAAGAAAGGGAAACUUAGGGUUUUUGCAGAAUCUUAGAUUUAAGAUUCAACGGGAUUGGGGCUGAUUCGAAAGGAACUAUGGGGAUAUUUGGGGAGAGGAGGAGGAGGAGAUUGCAUGGUGAAGUUUUGGGUUGAUUUGGGGAAGUUAGGGUUUUUGGGAUUGAAACUCAAAUUUGAAAUUCGAGGGAUUUGAAAGUGUUUUUGGGGACAAGGAUGAUGAAUUUAGGAAGAGGAGGGAACAAGUGUUAAAGGAUGUUAAUUUGGGUGUGUUUAGAGCACCGGAACUGCCAGCGAUUUCCGGUGGUGGUGGGCGGCAGAGACAGUGAGGUUUUUUUAGGGUGGCUAGGGUUUGAGGUUUGAUUGGAGAAGCUGAGAAUGAGAGGGGUUUGAAGGGUAUGGGGGAAGGGGUUUCAGACUCUCUUAUACGUGAACAACACCUACUUCACAGCCAUUGGAUCAC
Molecule: long non-coding RNA, 2761 nt
Filed under: Nicotiana tabacum (common tobacco)
Lineage: Eukaryota; Viridiplantae; Streptophyta; Magnoliopsida; Solanales; Solanaceae
Description: long non-coding RNA (NTAB_LNC004141)
Source: RNAcentral